Molecule: long non-coding RNA, 2825 nt
Filed under: Vigna radiata
Lineage: Eukaryota; Viridiplantae; Streptophyta; Magnoliopsida; Fabales; Fabaceae
Description: long non-coding RNA (VRAD_LNC007910)
Source: RNAcentral
UUUUUUCUAUGUGUUAUGAUAUUAAAUGUUUGAGUUCGUUUUUAUUCCUUUUGAGAUUUUGAUGGAGUAAAGUGUGAUGAAAGUGAAUAAGAAAUUACUUCAUUUUAUUUCUCGAAAUUGGUUGCAGAUAAUUUAAAUGUGAUGUUUGUUUUAUGCUAUCAAUAAAUUGGUCUCGACCNAGUGGUGUUGGUGGCUGUUUGAAAAGGGUGUAAGCCCUUGAAUAACAAAGAGUGGGACCCACGACUUUUAUUUUUUAUUUUGGAUAAGAGAGAAUGGGACUUGGGUUUGAAAUGGUUCUCUGCAUGGUAGUCACGUGGGGAAGAGGGUUUCUUUCUGUCAUCUAUUUUAAGUUGCAGGGGUAGGUUCUAAUUAUUUUUUUUUCGNUUUUCUUCAUGUCUGCAAGUAGAGUGCGCCUCUUCUACCUUAACCAAGAUAGGAAAUAGUAAAGGCAUAUAAUUAGCAUUAAAAAUAAUACAACCGAAAUCAUAACUGAAUAAGUUAUAUUGGGGAAAGGUGUAGAAUAGAAAAGGAAACUUUAGGUAGAGUCUUAAAUCAGAAAUAAUCUUGUUUAAUGAGGAGGGGGCCACGAGGCUCUGGGAGAACAGAAGGUAAGCAAAUUUGAAGUAUUAUAUUUAGAACCAGGAGAGUAGAGGGGUGGGGGGAGUUGUAAGGAAACCCUAACACAUAAUAGUAAGAAGAAAAAAAAAAAAAAAAGAAGAAGAAAGAAACCGUGAAGCCGUGAGGAGAGCUAGCAGCUGUCGUGAGCGAGGAGGGCCAAUCUAUAUUGUUAGGACCGAGGAGGCUAAAAGCUUUGCUGGAAAUACCAGGUAAGGGGAGUAAACCUUGACAUAUUCUGUAUGGAUUUUGUGAUAUCUGUAAGCGAGGGAGGGGUGAAGAUUUCAUGUAUGUUAUGGUCUUGCUUGUAAGUGUGCAUGUAUUUUAUGGAUGGAGUAUAGUCAUGCGUAGGUUGCAUAUGAAUGACUCAGAUUACUUGUAUACUGUCUUGAUGCCUAAAUACUGUAUGAUGGUGGAUGAGUCUUACGUUCUCGGUUCUUUUUUUUUAAGUCUGUUUGUUUUACUUAACCAAGAGUGCAAUGUCGUUCUUCUAUAUAGUGGGAUAGAGGCCUAGUUUUGGUGCUACCUUCCGUAGACCGAUGGGCGUGUGGGUUGGGAGUGUCAUCUUCUUGUAGAGAGUUAGUCGCAUAGUUAGUGAGAGAGAGGCUAUGAGUUUUGGGUCUGAGUGGUGAGAAAUAAGGAAGAGAAAGGUAUGAUGGGUUGGGGCGAUAUGAUGGGAGCGAGGGUGUUGCGCUUAGUGCAAAAUAAUUUUAGAAACAAAGGAAAGGAAUGAGUUAUAUUGAAAAAGUAGAGUUUGGGUGGGAAUAGUUCUAGCGUGUGUAGAAUUAUGAGCGAAUGAGAGUGGGGUUUCAUGUGGGUGCACAUUUCAGCUCCUGAAGGUAGUGGGUAUAGGGGAACCGUGAGCAUGGACAUGAGUGUUAUCACCGGCAGAGGGGUUUAGUGUUAGUAUAGAAAGUAGACAAGGAUAGAAGGAGAGUGUGUUGAGGAAGGUGACCAUAGCAAGUGAAACUUGUAAGAAAGGGCACGGACUUAGAAAAGAGAAGAGUAGAAAUUUUAUAGAAGUUGGAUUACGUACCAGAGAAUAGGUUGAAUGAAGAAGAUGAGUUUCUUUUUUUCUNUAUGCAUGAAAGUUACGCACCUUAACUUAGGUGAGAGANAAAGGAAGUUAAUAGGGAGUAGGGGAAAAGGUUUGAGGAUUUAAGUGAUGCGGGGUCCACGCCUUUAUUGGUAUAAUUAAGUUCUAAGCAAUGUAUAUAUAUAUAUGGUAAGGUAAGGGUUACGUACUGUAAGUUAAUGUAUUAUAUUAAUAUUAUUAAUAUUAUAUAUGUAUAUAAUAAAGCGGGAGUUUGACAUGAGUAAAAGAAAAUGUUAAAUAAAUGGUAAUGUUGGGAUUGGUGCACGGUUAUCAAGUUGCAGAGAAGGUUUUUCUUUAUUUUGUUGCUGGUAUCCUUUCGGUAAUUGAGGGAUUAGGUGAGAAGAUGAUAUUUCUUUAUUUUUUUUUUUUUGUUUCAUGUUAUUAUUAUUAUAUUUUUAAUAUGCUUAAAGAUGUUAAAGUUUGGGAAUUCUUCGGAUGAUUGGUUGAAUCAGCGUGAAUAGAUCUGCCUCCAUUAAAACUGUCAUGUAUUGGGAAAUCGAUAAUUUAUUUUCUGGAAUUAUUUGUUGCUAGAGGAUGGUGGGUUGUUACAUGUAAUCCGAAUGGGAAAGGAGAUUUGUGUUUAAACUUGAAAAGAUUUGGUUGUAUUAUGCAUAUUAUUGAGAAAUUGUAUUCAUUGCUGAUAUACGAAAUCAUGUUAUUUUCUUAUACUUGUGUUGGUCAUGGAUGGAUGUUCGUACUAUGUUACGAUAAGAAUGUAUUGGACUCUCAUUCUUUGAGAUAGUGAUUCGAGUGUCACCUCCUCCUAUGUGGGGAUGUGGAUGUCUCGCCCAUAUGACUUCGGCUCGUGUGAGUAUAGUGCUCGUUGGGUGUUUCCCACCGAAGUUUUUACUCGUAAUUCCUUGAGGAGUCGGGGAGAUAGGUCAGAAGUUGCGAUGGAAGACAACUCGAAUUGCCCUGUUGGGAACAGGUUUCUGUUAGUGAUAACAGGAGUAUGACGACACAGUAAAAGGAAACAACAUUGCAUAUUUAGUGCAUUGGCUAUGAUAUCAUUACAAUGAUUUGUGUUAUAAUAUUGCUUAUGUGAUUAUUGUAUAUGCUACCUAUGAUAUUUCUGGUUGCUCACCCUUUUAUGUUGUGUUUGUGGUCUCCACCU